This 2798-nucleotide long non-coding RNA is filed under the name Vitis vinifera (wine grape). RNAcentral describes it as "long non-coding RNA (VVIN_LNC004521)". The record is from RNAcentral. Lineage: Eukaryota; Viridiplantae; Streptophyta; Magnoliopsida; Vitales; Vitaceae.
GAAGCAUGAGAAACCCUAAUAGACUCAAAUCCUGUUCCGAUCUUCUGAUCCGCUUUCAGCAACCCCAUUAGGGUUUUUCCUUAGGAAAACCUGAGAAAGGGUUAGUUAUCUUCUUCUCUUUGAUUUUGGCUCACAUAUUUGUUUCAAGAUUUACUUUCUCUCUCUAGCUAUGCCUUGCUUGUUCAAUUACAUGCUUCUUGUUUAUAGUGUUUUCUCAUGUUUUCGGUUGUUGUGUUCUUUCUUUCUUUUCUGUGUCAUCGUAUGUGGAGAAUCUUACUUGUAGGAGAGAGAUAAUGUUAGGGUUUUAAGUGACAGAAUUUCUCUGUCUGAACGCGGUUGGUGCUUUUGAGAUCCCUCCAAAUGCCUUGGUGAGAGAGCUGUAACAGCCUUUUCAUAAUUUUUUUCAUGUAUUGUUAAUGUCAAAUUUAAGUCUCAUAUGCAUUUCUUGGUUUUCAUGAUCUGAUCUAUUCAUAUCUAUUCAGUUCUCUGGUUGAAUGUUUUUCCAUCAAUUGGGAUUGAAUCAACAAUUCACUGAUAAAUUAAAUUACAUAUCUGAAUAUAGAUUGAAAUGAAUAAAAGUAAAACCUUGGAUUUGUGACAACUAAAAAACUAAAUAUUGAAUCUCUCUCUCUCUCUCUCCCUCUCCCUCUCCCUCUCCCUCCCUCCCUCCCUCCCUCUCCCUCUCUCUCUCUCUCUCUCUGAAUAUAGAUUGAAAUGAAUAAAAGUAAAACCUUGGAUUUGUGACAACUAAAAAACUAAAUAUUGAAUCUCUCUCUCUCUCUCUCUCCCUCUCCCUCUCCCUCUCCCUCCCUCCCUCCCUCUCCCUCUCUCUCUCUCUCUCUCUGAAUAUAGAUUGAAAUGAAUAAAAGUAAAACCUUGGAUUUGUGACAACUAAAAAACUAAAUAUUGAAGCUCUCUCUCUCUCUCUCUCUCUCUCUCUCCCUCCCUCUCCCUCUCCCUCCCUCCCUCUCUCUCUCUCUGAAUAUAGAUUGAAAUGAAUAAAAGUAAAACUUUGGAUUUGUGACAACUAAAAAACUAACUAUUGAAUCUCUCUCUCUCUCUCUAAGCAUGAUGAUGUGGGAUUCUCAAAUUUCACAAGAUUAUUGAGAGAGUGGUGUUGAGUGGUAAAUUGUUGAACAUUUUGGUAUGUUUCCUUACUGGAGUCAUGGUUGGGCAAAUGCAUGAUGCAGGCAUGGAAUACGACUAGACUAUAUAAUAAUGAAACAGCAGAAAUUUCUUGUCCCAUUUGAAGUCAUAUAUACAGUGAACAAGGCUGCAGAUCUGGCAUGCAUAGAAUAAGAUACCCUUUUCUUCUUGUUUCCAUCUCCAUCUUAUUUUAAGAAAUUGAAGCAUAAGAGAGAUAAUACUUUCUCCACAGCCAACAUAUUCAUAUAUAGAAUUCUUUCCAGGUAUGCAGAAAAGGGUUUGGAGAACCAAGCCAUAUUUUCUCAAUAGAGAAGCAAAGGAUGAACAAUUAUCAUCUGAAAAAUAGUUUGUUGACAGUCGUGUUCCGCGAAAGGGCAAUAGAGACACUUUAGCAUUCUAGAAAGUAGCUUAUAAAUGCAGGCAUUUGGCUACCCUUUUUUUGUGUAUGUAUGGUGUUAUCUCAAUAUAGAACGGAAAUGGUCCAACAUUCACAGCCAUUGAACAUUAUCUUUGAGCACCUACUUGUAUAUUUUCAAGGACAUUAGUCAUGGUAGGAUUGUAUUUUUCAAGGUCAUAGUAGAUGGAAAAAGUCUUUUUUUUCUUUCUCUUUGUGCUUGUUUCUUGAGUUUGAUUCUUAGACAACACUGAACUUGUAAUGACUUUCCAUCUCCUAUGCUCUAACGUCUUAGCAUGGUCAACUUUGUCCGCCGUAGAUGUAAUGUCACUGCCUAAUCUUUAAGACCUUUGUUUCAGGACUCUCUCUCUCUCUCUCUCUCUCUUUCUCUCUCUGUAUGUAUGUUAGAUGAGGUUUAUGAACUUGGACUGCAUUGAAUAACAAGUUUGAUUUUUCUGUUUAGCUUGGCUUGGUGGAGUUUGUUACCCUCUUUUGUUGGGAAGCUUCAUUUGGCUACACUCCACACAAUCUUUCUAAAUUCUUAGAUAGCCCAUGUAGCCAAAAACGUCAUUUAUUUGGUUCGCACAUCUCUUCUAGGGUUUUUAUACCUUAAUUAUACAUGAAGAACACCACAUGGUUGGGGUGUUCCUUCCAGGGAUUUGUUACAUUCCAUUAAUGAGACUCUUCCCAUGAGCCCUAGCUAGGUCCUCCUCUUCAACUUGGCAUUAUAUUGAGUCACGUGGGCACUUCCCCAUGGGGACUCAAAGAGCAAGCCAUAGGCUGUAAUGCAGAAAGAGCCCAUGAAAAAGGAAAAAGUAGUAUAGUACUCUUUGUUUUUAUGUAUACAUCUAUGCUUAUGUCAUAUUCCUCAGGACAAGGAUGUUGCUAAAGACAUUGUUUUCCUCUCAUUCAAGAUAGGUGAUCGGACAUUUUCAUUGACUGGAAGCAAUCAGAACAGCUAGGACAACAAUCUUUUUCUGUUUGUAAUAUUUUUUGUAUAUAAAUUUUUUCAUAGGUGUAACUGUGUAAGGUAAAAUUGCUGAAAUACCCAUCAAUGAAAUGAUUUGAAUAACUCAAAUGAGGAUGUCAGCAGCAUGAAUACAGUACUGUUGGGCCACAAGAACAACAGUAUAUGAAGGAAAAAUGAAGGUGGGUUUCCCUUACUAUGGCAAUUUUCCCUAAUUAAGCUAGCCAUUCACUAAAUGAAUUCAAUAAAUUUUGCAAUUCAGUAUAUAACAAAAAAAAAAAAAAAAAAAAC